UGGGGAAUAUUGCACAAUGGGGGAAACCCUGAUGCAGCGACGCCGCGUGAACGAAGAAGGUAUUCGUAUCGUAAAGUUCAGUCCUAUGGGAAGAUAAUGACAGUACCAUAGAAGAAAGCUCCGGCUAAAUACGUGCCAGCAGCCGCGGUAAUACGUAUGGAGCGAGCGUUGUCCGGAAUUAUUGGGCGUAAAGGGUACGCAGGCGGUUUAAUAAGUCGAAUGUUAAAGAUCGGGGCUCAACCCCGCAAAGCAUUGGAAACUGAUAAACUUGAGUAGUGGAGAGGAAAGUGGAAUUCCUAGUGUAGUGGUGAAAUACGUAGAUAUUAGGAGGAAUACCAGUAGCGAAGGCGACUUUCUGGACACAAACUGACGCUGAGGUACGAAAGCGUGGGGAGCAAACAGG
RNAcentral lists this ribosomal RNA (403 nucleotides) under bacterium. RNAcentral's name for it is "partial 16S ribosomal RNA". It matches the Rfam family "Bacterial small subunit ribosomal RNA", at positions 355 to 776 of the family's 1533-position model. The record is from RNAcentral.